UAAGGUGGACUUUUUGAGAGGGUCAAACUAAACAGCAAUAUUUAAGAUUCUCAAUGCUUAAAUUAAAUUCACUCUUGGGAAGGUCUGAGAUUGGGGCCAACAUCGGCACUAAGAGGGCCUUUCCUGAGCCUGAGAGAGUUCCCAAAGAGCAGGGCCUCCCUGUGAGGGCAGACUGGGCAGGAGAUGCUAGGAGCCCAUCCUUGGGCAGGGGCCUGGCGAUUUAGCUUAGCUGGGCCUUGGAACAGACUCAACAACUGUGAACUGAGUUCAAUGGCUGAGUAAGGCACCCUAUACUGGAGCCUCAUAACCCAGUUCAGAUCACUCUCCCUUGCCUUA
Molecule: ribozyme, 336 nt
Organism: Fukomys damarensis (Damara mole-rat)
Lineage: Eukaryota; Metazoa; Chordata; Mammalia; Rodentia; Bathyergidae
Rfam family: Nuclear RNase P
About the family: Ribonuclease P (RNase P) is a ubiquitous endoribonuclease, found in archaea, bacteria and eukarya as well as chloroplasts and mitochondria.
Source: Ensembl